UACAGAGGUCUCAAGCGUUGUUCGGAUUCAUUGGGCGUAAAGGGUGCGUAGGUGGCGCCGUAAGUCGGAUGUGAAAUUUCGGAGCUUAACUCCGAAACUGCAUUCGAUACUGCGGUGCUUGAGGACUGGAGAGGAGACUGGAAUUCAUGGUGUAGCGGUGAAAUGCGCAGAUAUCAGGAGGAACACCGGUGGCGAAGGCGGGUCUCUGGGCCGAUACUGACGCUGAGGAGCGAAAGCGUGGGGAGCGAACAGG
RNAcentral lists this ribosomal RNA (253 nucleotides) under uncultured bacterium. RNAcentral's name for it is "partial 16S ribosomal RNA". It matches the Rfam family "Bacterial small subunit ribosomal RNA", at positions 524 to 776 of the family's 1533-position model. The record is from RNAcentral.